GGAGGAAGGCAGGUGGGAGUGCUGAGUAACAGUGAAAGCACAUACGAUGCCAGUCUUUUCCGUAUAUUGGGACUGUAAUGUGUAGAUACAGGAUUCCUGAUUCUCCUUCCGUGCUUAUGGAAGUCAGGACAAAUUGAUUUUGAGCUCCAUGGGAUUACUUGCUGCUCUGCACAUAAUGGAUGUACGCAGAGUGAUUCUGGGAGAGUUCUGUAGUAGAUGAGUGAAGAAAUUGCUGGUGCAGGACUGCUGAAUUCCAGAGAGUGUUAUUUGUUGCUAUACUGAUAUUGCAGCAAUGACAAUGAGGAGGAGAUUGGAUGGGAAGAAGUCUUGGUGUCUUCCUACCUGAAUUUCUAGUACAGAGGAGUCUCUUAAAGAGGUCAUCCUGUAAUUGUCUGCUUCCCAGUUCCUUUCACCUAUUGGAUUUCACAACUAUUGGAUGUGCUAGAAGCCAGGAGAGGCUCUCCUGACAACUUUUCAGCUUUUGCUGUGCCAAACAGGGUAGUGAAGUGAGCUAGCUUUCUUCACUAACUAGGAAGAAGUCAAGAAGUCUCAGGUUGAGUGCAUGAGUGCAUCUUUCCCCAGGACACUUGUUUACAGGUGCAGUACUGUACGUGUUGGGUUGACCUGUCCCAAGGGUGGGCUGUAAACCAUGCUGCCUUGUUUUCUGCCUGGCGGGUGUGCUCACUGGGCUAAUGAUGCAGGAGGAGAAAGGGACCACUAGAGAGCAUGUAGGGAAAGUCUGCUCCUGACCAUUAGUAUCUAGCUCCCUGAUGAUGUCAUUUUGCACAUAGCAGGAGGGACUAUCAUAUUAAAAAAAAGUCUGAAAAAUGUAAGAAAAAGGGAGAGAUAACAAAACUUGUUCUGAAACAUAAUGAAACAGCAAAUACGUUUGUGCAUAUCUUCAAGGAUUUGCUAAUGCUGUCUUGUAUGCUCAUUUCUCCUGUAUUAUUCUGUCUCACCUAUGCUGUUUGGGUGAUGACACAAGAGCUUGUCAGAGCAGGGGAUCAUGCAGCUUUUGGGAAGGUCCAUCAAAACCUCAUCCCUCCAAUAGACCACGGUUUGGAAGACACAGAUAUACAGAAUAGCAUACAGACAAAGAGAAUAAUGGCUGUGUGCCUUCAUUUUUAUCUUUGAGAUAAAUAAAACAUUUAUGGUGUAAUAUUUAUAGGCUU
Long non-coding RNA from Numida meleagris (helmeted guineafowl), 1172 nucleotides. RefSeq lists it as uncharacterized. The record is from RefSeq and is a predicted model, not a curated record. The transcript is spliced from 5 exons. NCBI's taxonomy places the organism in Eukaryota, Metazoa, Chordata, Aves, Galliformes, Numididae.